Molecule: ribosomal RNA, 466 nt
Filed under: uncultured bacterium
Lineage: Bacteria
Description: partial 16S ribosomal RNA
Rfam family: Bacterial small subunit ribosomal RNA
Source: RNAcentral
ACGAACGCUGGCGGCGUGCUUCACACCUGCAAGUCGAACGGAAAGGCCCUGCUUUUGUGGGGUGCUCGAGUGGCGAACGGGUGAGUAACACGUGAGUAACCUGCCCUUGACUUUGGGAUAACUUCAGGAAACUGGGGCUAAUACCGGAUAGGAGCUCCUGCUGCAUGGUGGGGGUUGGAAAGUUUCGGCGGUUGGGGAUGGACUCGCGGCUUAUCAGCUUGUUGGUGGGGUAGUGGCUUACCAAGGCUUUGACGGGUAGCCGGCCUGAGAGGGUGACCGGCCACAUGGGGACUGAGAUACGGCCCAGACUCCUACGGGAGGCAGCAGGGGGGAAUUUGGCAAAAGGGGCGGAAGCCGGAGGAAGCAACGCCGCGGGCGGGAUGACGGCCUUCGGGUUGUAAACCGCUUUCGCCUGGGACGAAGCGUGAGUGACGGUAAUGGGAAAAGAAGCACCGGCUAACUACGU